RNA transcript from Chelmon rostratus (copperband butterflyfish), 1853 nucleotides. It is a transcript of the gene named biogenesis of lysosomal organelles complex-1, subunit 3, with no coding region annotated. The record is from RefSeq and is a predicted model, not a curated record. The transcript has 6 exons. NCBI's taxonomy places the organism in Eukaryota, Metazoa, Chordata, Actinopteri, Chaetodontiformes, Chaetodontidae.
UCUGGGUAAACAACUCACUUCCUUACUGCUCAUGUGAUUUGUGUUUUUGACGUCUCAAAGAAGUCAUGUCCAGCAGAUACCGGAUAGUGGUGCAAGGCGAGGCCUCUGAGACAGACUCUGAUGAUGAGGUCUACAUCACCUCCAUGUCUGCUCCCCAAACUGCCACAGUUGGAACCAAGGUUCCUGGGGAGGCAUCUGAGACAGACAGUGAGGAUGAGGAGGAGCAGGUGGACCGAGCCUCUACAGUGAGCCAGGAGAGCGCCCAGAUACUCAGGAGAGACCUGCCGCCACUUAUAGUAGUUAGAGACCAUCCUGGUAUACAGUCCAUAGUGGAAGAUAGACCAAGCCCCACACGCAGGCCUCAUGGUGAGACCCUUUUACAACAGAAGCUGCAGGAAUCUAACUGCCGGCUGCAUUCUGACGUGGGACAGACACUACGGCAGGUUUAUGGCAGUGCCAGUAGAGAGGUGCAGAAUGCAACAGCUCAGUUGAACGCUUCGCAGAGCGCCAUCAUCAAUGCCUCACACAGCAUCAGAUUAAUCCUGGAUGACCUAAAGGCUGUGUCAGAGAAGAUUGACAUCAUCACCAGCUGUCAAAUACUGCCUGAUAUUAACAUCAAUGAUGCAAAUCAUUAUACCGCUCCUCUACCUUAAAGAAACAGGUCAAUAUAUACAUUUAAAACAUACUUAUCAUCACAGUGUUUUAACACUUUAAUAUGGGUGUAAUUUCUUCCAACAGCUGGAAAGACUAGCAUGUUAGCUUUACUUCAGUGUUUCUAAACAGUGCCUAUGCAUCUGAACAAUAUGUAAAUUUAACAGUCACACACUACUGUUUGUAUGUAUUUAUCUGUCAGGAUUCUCUGUACUGUGUCUGCAGCUCUUCGCAUAACUCUGUAAAGAGUAGGAGUCAAAGAAAAACAAAUGUUCUGUCAUGUUCGUUUGGCGAGACAUUUUACGUAAGAAUUUUACAUAUCCAUUUUUAUCUUAUGCUUUGUAAAUAUAAAUAUAAAUCAACACAAUCCCUUGAAUCACUCUAUGCUUUUCUGUCUUUGUCUUUUCUUUGUUUUCUGGUCCUCUGUGAUUCAUCGAGGAAACAACUGUGAAGAACUUUCCCUUGAAACUUACUGGUUAUAAACAAACUUAAUUUAAACUGAUGCAACCAUUUGAUGGCCAACUCUCAGGACACAAGACCAACAGCAGUAAAACAUGAUUGCUUAGAUACAACUACAGCCCACCAGGAGAAGUUAGAAGUGACGUCCCAUUUAUUACACGUGUCCACCCAGCAGUCAGCAGCUUCACCAUGGAUCCGUCCAUACAGUCUGCAUGUAGGCGUGUCAGAUAGGUGUGUAAAUAUAAACUAAAACCACUACCAGCAGGUUGAGAAAUGUGCUCACAAUACCCACAACGCCAAGCACAUGGUCGGGGUCCGCCUUGCAUUGGGACGCUUCAGGAAGCACGCUGACGGGAUCGGCUUCCUGAAAGAGAGAAAGGGAGAUUUACAGUGUGCACAAUCUACAUGCACUCAAAGCAGGAGAUUUUUGAUUUAACCUUCACAUGUUUCAGCCACCUGAUGGCGCCAUCGACACACAUAUGGCAACACUCACUCUCCUCUGCUGAACCCAGUCUAUUCCAUCAUUGCAGUUAAGUCCAUAUCUGCACACCUUUCAUGUCCCGCAUUAUUAUGUGUAAUAUAUGCAUUGUGUCUAAUACAAAACAUAUGAGGAUCUUUUAUUUAAGUAAAAGUAGCAAUACAGUGUAGAAAUACUCUUUUUCAGGUAAAAGUCAUACAUAUACUUAGUACAAAAGUAUUAGCAUCAAGAUAUACUUCAAGCACUAAAAGUGAAAAUGCUCAUU